UGUGAUUUUGGAGCCUACACUUGAAAUGGGA
This 31-nucleotide non-coding RNA is filed under the name Callithrix jacchus (white-tufted-ear marmoset). RNAcentral also lists the same sequence under 1 other name. The record is from RNAcentral. Lineage: Eukaryota; Metazoa; Chordata; Mammalia; Primates; Cebidae.